Non-coding RNA from Sus scrofa (pig), 72 nucleotides. The record is from Rfam. NCBI's taxonomy places the organism in Eukaryota, Metazoa, Chordata, Mammalia, Artiodactyla, Suidae.
UCCCUGGUGGUCUAAUGGUUAGGAUUUAGUGAUGUCAUCUCUGUGGCCCAGGUUCAAUCCCUGGUCUGGGAA